RNAcentral lists this ribosomal RNA (498 nucleotides) under uncultured bacterium. RNAcentral's name for it is "partial 16S ribosomal RNA". It matches the Rfam family "Bacterial small subunit ribosomal RNA", at positions 899 to 1397 of the family's 1533-position model. The record is from RNAcentral.
ACUCAAAUGAAUUGACGGGGGCCCGCACAAGCGGUGGAUGAUGUGGUUCAAUUCGAUGCAACGCGAAAAACCUUACCUACCCUUGACAUGCCAGGAAGCCCGAUGAAAGUCGGGUGUGCCCGAAAGGGAACCUGGACACAGGUGCUGCAUGGCUGUCGUCAGCUCGUGUCGUGAGAUGUUGGGUUAAGUCCCGCAACGAGCGCAACCCUUGUCAUUAGUUGCUACAUUCAGUUGGGCACUCUAAUGAGACUGCCGGUGACAAACCGGAGGAAGGUGGGGACGACGUCAAGUCCUCAUGGCCCUUAUGGGUAGGGCUACACACGUCAUACAAUGGCGCAUACAGAGGGCUGCCAACCCGCGAGGGGGAGCAAAUCCCAGAAAGUGCGUCGUAGUCCGGAUUGAAGUCUGCAACUCGACUUCAUGAAGUCGGAAUCGCUAGUAAUCGCGGAUCAGCAUGUCGCGGUGAAUACGUUCCCGGGCCUUGUACACACCGCCCGU